Molecule: ribosomal RNA, 382 nt
Filed under: uncultured archaeon
Lineage: Archaea
Description: bacterial SSU rRNA
Rfam family: Archaeal small subunit ribosomal RNA
Source: RNAcentral
AACCUCCGCAAUGCACGCAAGUGUGACGGGGGGAUCCUGAGUGCUCAGGGUUAUACCUGGGCUUUUCACCAGAGUAAAGAUCUGGUGGAAUAAGUGGUGGGCAAGACUGGUGCCAGCCGCCGCGGUAACCCCAGCGCCACAAGUGGGAACCGUUUUUAUUGGGUCUAAAGCAUCCGUAGCCGGUCUGUUAAAUGCUCUGUGAAAUCGUGUCGCCUAACGGCACGGCGUGCAAGGUAGACUGACAGACUUGGAACUGGGAGAGGUAAGCGGUAUUCUGUGGGGAGCGGUAAAAUGCUAUAAUCCACAGAGGACCACCGAUGGCGAAGGCAGCUUACCAGAACAGAUUCGACGGUGAGGGAUGAAAGCUAGGGGAGCGAUCCGG